This is a non-coding RNA of Monodelphis domestica (gray short-tailed opossum), 8011 nucleotides long. Lineage: Eukaryota; Metazoa; Chordata; Mammalia; Didelphimorphia; Didelphidae. The record is from RefSeq and is a predicted model, not a curated record.
UCCCAGUUCGUAGCUCGGGUAAUAAGACAAAAUCAAUGCAAUGAAUUACCCUCAUCACUUUGGAGGUGUUUGAUAAACUCGGGGCUCCUUCCCUCCCCGCUCCCCACCCCUCACCCAGUCACGUGCCUACUGUUGCUGCCCCCAUCUAGUAGAAUGAACUCUGGAGAGAAAAUCAUGGUUUAAAACACUGACUUUGUUACUAAUAACUCAAAUGGCCUUGAACUAGCCUCUUUCUCUUUGGGUCUCAGUGUUCUUAUCUGUGAUAUGGGGGAAGUUGGACUAGAUGACCUCUAAAUCCUCUGCUGCUCUUUGUCCCACACGUGCAGAGGAAUACCAGCAUUCCUCCGUCCUUGAGACUGAUAAGAUAUAGAGCUAGCACUAGCCUUGCAUACCAUAGAUAUUGGAGGAAGAUGUAACUUGUUUUUUGAUUUGAUUCCCUGCCUGCUGAAAGGGCUUGAGUCUGUAUAUCUCCUGAACAAAACAGAAGCACCCCGCUUGCUGUGUGGUAUGUCUCAACCCCUAGAGGCUUCAUGUUCCCCAAAUCUGCUGGGAAAAGGUUCUUCUUUUGACUUCGCAUCUGUCCCUCUGGACCCGUCUGCUGACUCCAGCUCCAUCUGAUGUGAUAAGUGUCUGCUUUGACCUAUGUAAACAAGAGGUGAAUGAAGAUUGAGACAGAAUGGACUAAGCUUCAACCUUCUGCAUUUCGAAGGUCAGAAAAAUUCCCAGAGAUCCAAUAGUUGAGCUCAGGAAGGAGCCAAUUCUGAGGAAUGACCCCCCCCCUUAAUUAACAUAGUCCAUCCAUGGAUCAACACAGCUGCCUAAACACAAUGUCUAUAUAUAGCAGCAGAAAUAUUGUUUGAAGAAUGACUUGUGUGUGUCUACCUCCAGAAAAAUAAAUUAUAUAUAGAACAAGGAAGACAUAAUGGUGCAUAUAUAUAUAUAUAUAUAUAUAUAUAUAUUAAAAAUCAAAUGUCUUCUUUAAUGUAGAGAGGGAAAGGAGGAUGGGAGAGAUCUGGGAAUUUUAUGUAACAAAUUAAUUAAUUUUUAAAAAUAAUGUCCUUUACUCAAUGAAGUGAUUUGUCAAUGCUACAUUCAGAAAUCAAAUCAGUAGUGUGAGGAAUGAUUAUGGUGUCUGUUUCAAUGUGAGCCCAUUAUUCCCAGGGACUUAAGUGGUAAAGGAGAGAAUGCAUACCCACCUUUUUUUCUCCAGUUCUGGAAGACUGCUUUCUUCCUUUAGUUUUCUGCUACAUCUUCUCAGUAAAAGCUAAUUGAUAUUGAUUGCUUAUCAGUGAUAUUGAGGAACCAUCACUUGGUUAAUUGAUACUGGGGAACUAUUGACCCUGGUAAACUAUAUCAGGACAAUUAUCAUGAAGGCUGCUAGGUGGCUAGUGGAUAAAAUGCCAAGCCUGGAGUUAGGAAGACCUGAGUUCAAAUAUAACUUUAGAUGCUUACUAGCUAUGUGACUGGAAAAGUCACUUAACUCUCACUAUUUGCCUCAGUUUCCUCAUCUAGAAAAUGACCUGGAGAAGGAAAAGGCAAACUGUUCCCAUAUCUUUGCCAAGAAAACUCCAAAUGGGGUCACCAAGAGUCAAACAUGACUGAAAGGAAUGAACAACAAUCCUAAAAGAAGGUCCUUAUCUCAGCAACUUUCUAACUCCUCAGAUCCAUUCCUAUGUCAGGGUCAAUAACCUAAGGAUACUCUAUUAGCCUUUGAUUUAAGCUGGUUCUUUAUGUAAGUGAAUCUACUUUCUUUACCUCUUGUUUUAACUACUAUCUUAGAACAAUAUAAGUCAUUAUUGGCAAAUGAUAUUGGUGGGGGAAUAUACCAGGAUGGGGACUUAAGCCAAUAGUAAAAAAAGAACCCCAUUGCUCCUCAAGAGUAUCCCUAGACUUUGCUACUAGUAGCAAUGCAAUAAGCCAGGACACUCCUGAAGGAUUUAUGUAAAAGAAUGUUAUCCACAAUGAGAGAAAGAACUAUGGGAGUAGAAAUGCAAAAGGAAAACAUAUAACAUCACUUAUCACAUGUAUAUAUGGGUAUGUAAUUUGGGGCUUAGGCCAUAAAAUAUCGCUCUAUAGCAAAAAUGAAUAAUAUGGAAAUAGGUAUCAAGUGAUUACAUUUGUACAGCCUAGUGGAAUUGCUUGUCAGCUCCAGGAGGGGGAAGAGAAGAGGGGAGAGAAAGAAAAUGAAUCAUGGAAACAUGGAAAAACAUUUAAAAAUUUUAAAUUUUAAAGAAUAUCCCUAGAACCCUGUCCAGGAGAUAUAGCCUGAUGCACUCUGGAAACACAACCUACAGUUCAUGUGAGCUGGGAGAAUAAAACUAGAGACUUAUAUUUGAGAUAAACCAGAAACUGCUCCUUUAGAACAUGUGCCAUGAUCUCCACCAUACUGAAUUGUCUAUAUAUUCUUAAAAAUUCUAACUAACUAACUCCAAUAGGGAUAGUUUAAUAAGAAGUGAGGAAAAUAAUCAUAAUAAAAGAUUAAUCAAACUCCUAGCUGGCUCGCCAAGAAAUGUAGGGGUUAAAAUUAGGAGCUUGACAAAGAUAGGAGAGCAGUUUAACAAAUUUUUGUUUUACUAGAGAAAAAAUAGGAAAGUCAGAAAGAUAGGAAAGAGAGAGAUUUAACUAUUUACCCUUGUACUACCUAAAAACUACCUAAAUCUCCUUAUAUCAACUUAUAAACUACCUAAAAACUAUUAUUUGAGAGAGUCUCACUAAUAACUCUUCAGCUUAGCUAACCAGGCUGAACAUACACUAUAUAUAUAUAUUUUUUUUUUCUAACUCACUAAGCAAUAGACAGCUACCAAAAUACACUCUCCUUCAAUCAGAUUCUACAGUAGCCAAUUGUCACUAUCAACUGCCAGAAACACCCUGCCCUGGGUAUAAAAGGGAAUUCUUUGUUCUCUUUGAGUUUACACUUGUGAAAGGGAAUCCUUUAUUCCCUUUGUCUAUUUUGAGUUAAGCUUUGGUUAACAAUAACUUAAGUAUCCUUACUUAGUACCUUACUACAUUGUGAAAACAGAAUUAACUCUCCUUUUCCUACUUUUGAAUUGAAUCAAUAAAAGCUUGAACACCCUAUUUAGCACUAGGUAGAGUAGCUCAGAUCAAUCAGCCAGGAAAUGAGAAUUCACAACCUCAGUCCAUCAGGAAUCUGCAAACUCUUUUGAUUAGCAUUCACUUCUCCAGAAAGUAAGAAGUGGUCACACAAACACUGCUCCCUGGGCAUUGCUGAACAAUUUGGAAGCUGUGGUUAGCCCUCGUGAAGAGAGGAAGGGACAAGAAGCCACUAUAAAAGGCCCUGAAUUUCUGGGGCUAGGGAAGUUGACUCCAAGAAGGAAGUUGACUGGAGUCAUCAUCAUCAUCUUGACCUGCCUCUUGGAGGGAACUUGGGUGAAUGGAUAGCUAGCUUUCCCUUCCUGUCUUCUGGAGAGAGUUAAAUUCCAGUUGAAGGUCAACAGAGUUGAGCACUGGAGCAACAUUUAGUUAGGUAAACUAAUGUCUUCUCUACCCUUUUGUAUUUCUCUGUUUUCACUCUUUCUAUCUCUUUUGUAAAUAAAAACUAUUAAAGUCAUUUUGACUUUGAAGCAAUAAUACUUUGAAUCAGCAACUACCAUAUUAUUUAUAAAUUUCAUAUAUUUUAGUCAAACCAUUAAAAUUUAAUUCUUACAUAGGAAACCUUAGAGAGAAAAGGCCCUUCUCACACUUCAAGCUUACCUUUAUCUCUCAUUCUCCAACUAUCAUUCUUAUAUCACUUCCUCUCUGAGAGCAGUCUUUAUUUCCUUUAACUUUGGCUGGUCUCCAUGGUAAUAGAACCUCUUCUCUUUGGGCCUGGCUCUUUGUCUACUGAGCUAGCCACCUCUUUCCCCAGUUAAGUUAGAGAAAGGUAUUAAGAAUUCCCUUUUAUACUUAGCACAUGAAUAUAAAUUCCCUUGCUGAUGGGGAGCAUCCUGCUCCUGGAGUAUCCUUCUUGGGUACUCUGGGCAUUUAAAACAUGAAUUCUGUGGCAUGUUGAACUGAAAUUUGUCUGCUCAUUAAGUUAUAGCACAAUGCCUACCUAGCACAUGAUAGGUACUCAAUAAUUUGUUAUUGGUAUAAGAAGUGCUAUGGGCCUAUGGGUAGGGAGAGAGGUAGGGCUGAUAGCCUUCCCCCCCUCCCCCCUUGUAAACAAUAUUUUAUUCUAGGACACUCUGUUAAUAGAAUAAAUAAACACAUUUCAAAUUACUCAAAGGAUGUAAUAUCAGAGGGACAGAUGAGAAUGGUACUUACAUAGAACCAAAGCAGUUACUAUGAUAGUCACCACCUGAUCUCUAACUAUGUAUGUAUAUAUAGCACACACACACACACACACACACACACACACACACACACACACACACACACACACACGGUACCUCUGUUUUAAGUUGUCACUCAUUGGUAAGACUAAUUCUGCUUUCUGAAAAACAUUAAACCUGUCUAUCCCCUUCCACAUGAUGGUCUUUCAGAUGUUCAAAGACAGCUUUCACCUUCUUUGCAUCUUUUCCCUAGGAGUUAUUCCAACAUCACAACUAUCCCAUCUCCUUAUAGCUGAUCAGAAGAGAGCAUCAUCUCAGAGCCUUGAUAGGGCCCAGGCAUGAGCCUGCUUGGUAUUGUUAGUAGGUUGCCUUCUAUAUAAAAUGGCAACAUCACCAAUAUAAAUGACAUCCACCACUUUUUAUGAGUGACUUUACAGUGAUCCUUUAAAGCAAAAGCAUCAAGGUAGUACAGUAGAUAUGGCACCAGAUCUGGAAGUAAGAAGUCCUGAGUUCAAAUCCUGAUUCAGAUACUAAUGAGCUUUGGGACCCUGGAUAAAUCACUUAACUUCUCUCCGACUCCAUUUCCUUAUCUAAAAAAAUAGACCUACUUUGGAAGUACCUGCUUCACAAAAUUGUUAUGAAGAUUAAACGGGAUAAUAUAAAGCACUCUGCAAACCUUAGAUCAUUAAACAAAUGCUAGCUAUUAUUAUUUAAGCAGAGAUAGUAUCAAUGAUUCAAAGGAAAUGCUGUAUGCUUGCAAAAUCUCAAAAGGAUUCAAAGUUGCUUACAGUAAAGAAGAGACUUUAUGACAAUGUUACAGAUAUGAAUAAAUAUGUAUUUAGAAAGGCUCAUAUGGGGCAGGUAGGUGGCACAGUGGAUAGAGCACCAUGUUUAAAGUUGGGAGGUCUUGGGUUCAAAUCCAGCCUUAGACAUUUUCUAGUUGUGUGACCAUGGGCAAAUUACUUAACCCCAAAUGCCCAGCCCUUAGUGCUCUUCUGCCUAGGAACCAAUAUUUAAUAUCAGUUGUAAGACAGAAAAUAAGGGUUUAAAAAAAGGUUCAGCCUCCACAAAGUCCAUGACUAUGGAUACAUCAUGGCCCAAAUUUAUCCUCAUUUUACAACAGUAGUCCAUGGAUACUACCACCUUGUCCAUCUUCUUCCCACUUUCUGGCUUAGCACCAGGUUUAGGGUACCAAUCCCUUGGCCAUCUCUUACUGCUAUUGUAUAGUAUGAUGUCAUGAUGCAAGCUCUGCCCUACAGAAUCAAUAGGUCAUGAUUCUACUCUACUGUGUGGCUUUGACCAAAUCACUUCUCUGUCCUUCCUGAGCCUCAAUUUGUCUUCUAUAAACUGAAAGGGCUGAUCCCUAACUUUCUUUUCAGUUGAAGAAUUUUCUGGUUGUGUAGCUUUAAGUAACUUAUUUACAAAUUGAAAAUCCUAUUAACUGUGGCAAACCACCAAUAGCAUAAGCACCCUCUUCCUCCUCCAUUAGGAAUCCUUACACCCCUUUGAACCACCUCUUUCUGAUGUUACCCAGCAUAAGAACGUGGCCUCCUGCUCUCCUUUUCUGGCCUGGCUUCUUGGAAUCUCACAGCUCCCUGAAAUUACAAAACAAUGCCCAGCAGAAGCCACAAGCCUGAUUCUAAGCCAGCCUUCAAAGUUGGGGUUCAUCACUAUGCUUUUACUAAUAUGGCUCCCUCAGAUCCAUAGAAACUGUCUGGGUUGAACAUCUAUUUGAAAACUAAAACUGCCACCAUCCAGCAAGCCAACACAAGCCAGCUCCUAGUUGAAGCAGCAAGGCACCAAGAGGGAGAAACGGGGUGACAAGUGUUGGGUGAGUCAGAUCACCACCUCCUCCCCUCAGACUUUAAUGGAGACACCAGGACCUUGAUCCCAAAGGCUUUGAGAACCACAGUACCCAGCCCAUCUCCCAAACACUGGCCCUGUUUCCAGCUAAGGCCCCACUGAUGCAGGAGUAAUGGUCACUUACUACCGCCACCACCAUCUGCAGACUAAUUGCUACUCAGGAUUAGGUAAGGCCAAGAGCCCUGGAAGUGGCAGCAUCUCUCAGACCCCUAAUCCUGUUUCUAGCCCAGAGCCAGAGUCAGUUCCAGAAGUGAUCCACAUGGAGGUACAGCCAGACUGGAAACCCUCAUACUCCAGCCACAGCUUCUGAAGAUCUGGUCACCGAAGUCCUUGGGCACUGUCACGUGGCUCAACCCCAGCAACUGCUAUGAUUUUAUUAGUUGAAAUGACUUUAAAGAAGAGGCAUUACCAUCUGCUUUGCUGCCUAAUAAUCAUGGAACCGUUCCAUCUGACUUGCAGUGGAAGCUUGUUUUCUCCACUAUUAAAAUAUUAAUUCCUUGAGACCAAGGAAUUUUAGUUUUCUGUUUAUAACCUCAAUAUUUAGUACAGUGCUUUUCAAAUAGUAAGUGGCUACUAAAUGCUAUUUCAGUCAUUCAUUAAUUUGUUCAUUGCUUAUGAACCCCCAUUUUCCCUUGAGCAUUCCCUAACCAGCCAGAAUUAAUUAUGACAUCCUAAGAAUGCAAUAACAUUUACUUAAAUAGAAUGCAAGAUGAUAUCACAUGUAUAACUUAUAUCAUAAUAUUUACCAUCUCAAGGAGGGGUGACAGGAGGGAGGGAGAGAAUUUGGAACUCAAAGUUUAGAAAAUUAAUGUUAAAAAGCCAACUAGGUGGCUCAAUGGAUUAAAAGCCAGAUUUAGAGAGAGGAGGUCCUGGGUUCAAAUUUUACCUCAGAUACUUUCUAGCUGUUUGAUCACUAGUCCCCCAGCUUUUAUUGUUCUUCUACAUUAGAACGAACAUUUAAUAUUGAUUCUAAAACAGAAGGCAAGGUUUAAAAAAAUGUUAAAAUUUCUUCUUAUAUGUAAUUAGGAAAAUUUAAAUAUUAGAAGAUUUUAAAAAGAAAAUGUAAGCAAAAAAGGAAAGAUGUAUGUGUAUAUGUGUGUAUACAUAUAUAUGUAUAUGUCUGUGUGCAUAUAUAUACAUAUAUAUGAAUAAAGAAACAAAAACCAUCAUCAUGCAUUUCCCAAACUAUAAUCUGCCAGGGUUAGAGAUUCUUCUCAGAGGCAGAGAGGUUAGGAUGUGGUAAGCCUGUCUUCUUAGGGCAGAAACCAUAGCUAGAAAAAGUGACUCCAACCAUUGCCUCCUGGCCCAGAAGAAGAAAAACCUCUGUAAAUUGUGGCAGAAAUGAGACCCAGGUGCAGGACAGCUUCCUAGCCUCCCAUCUAUUUUCUCCUCUCUCUUCCAGCUCUCUCCUCAGAUAUGUCCUCUUUCUUCCAUGAGGUUUGUGUUCUACUUCCUUUCAGGGCUAUACCAGAUGCUCCCAGCCAACCAGACUCCAUGAGUUAACAUCAUUAUUUACUGGUCACUAAACAGACUUGUGGAAGAACUUCCUUGCCCAAUAAAUAAAUCCUAUUGGGAGAGCAGGAACAUAUCAUACUUUCACAAAAGCUCAACUUCUAUAUCAACCCUAGAGCCCAGGACCCUCUGGCAGUUCCCAUGCCUAACCUUUUCAGAUUCCAUUUCUAAGUAUCUUGGACAAAGCUACCACAAAUGUAACAUUUAUUAUGCCUCACUCUAAAAAAAUUUGAAUGGCUUAUUGAGUUCAUUGUGAGGUACUUGGGGAAAAAAUAUACCUCAAUAGGUUUGAACCCCUAACCUAGAUCAACCACAUACAUCUAAGAACAUCUAAAUUCUGCAUAUACUAGGCUAGUAGACCAAUC